ACCUGAGUGGUUCAGUUGGUUGAGCGUCUGACUUCAGCUCAGGUCAUGAUCUUGUGGUUCAUGGGUUCGAGCCCCACAUCAGGCU
Molecule: transfer RNA, 85 nt
Filed under: Felis catus (domestic cat)
Lineage: Eukaryota; Metazoa; Chordata; Mammalia; Carnivora; Felidae
Also listed under: 1 other name
Rfam family: tRNA
About the family: Transfer RNA (tRNA) molecules are approximately 80 nucleotides in length. Their secondary structure includes four short double-helical elements and three loops (D, anti-codon, and T loops). Further hydrogen bonds mediate the characteristic L-shaped molecular structure. tRNAs have two regions of fundamental functional importance: the anti-codon, which is responsible for specific mRNA codon recognition, and the 3' end, to which the tRNAs corresponding amino acid is attached (by aminoacyl-tRNA synthetases). tRNAs cope with the degeneracy of the genetic code in two manners: having more than one tRNA (with a specific anti-codon) for a particular amino acid; and 'wobble' base-pairing, i.e. permitting non-standard base-pairing at the 3rd anti-codon position.
Source: Rfam by way of RNAcentral